GCUCAUUAAAUCAGUUAUCGUUUAUUUGAUAGUACCUUACUACUUGGAUAUCCGUGGUAAUUCUAGAGCUAAUACAUGCUAAAAUCCCCGACUUCGGAAGGGGUGUGUUUAUUAGAUAAAAAACCAAUGCCCUUCGGGGCUCUUUGGUGAUUCAGAAUAACUUUUCGAAUCGCAUGGCCUUGCGCCGGCGAUGGUUCAUUCAAAUUUCUGCCCUAUCAACUUUCGAUGGUAAGGUAUUGGCUUACCAUGGUUUCAACGGGUAACAGAGAAUUAGGGUUCGAUUCUGGAGAGGGAGCCGGAGGAACGGCUCCUACAUCCAAGGAAGGCAGCAGGCGCGCAAAUUACCCAAUCCCGACACGGGGAGGUAGUGACAAUAAAUACUGAUACAGGGCUCUUUUGGGUCUUGUAAUCGGAAUGAGUACAAUUUAAACCCCUUAACGAGGAACAAUUGGAGGGCAAGUCUGGUGCCAGCAGCCGCGGUAAUUCCAGCUCCAAUAGCGUAUAUUAAAGUUGUUGCAGUUAAAAAGCUCGUAGUUGAACCUUGGGCCUGGCUGGCCGGUCCGCCUCACCGCGUGUACUGGUCCGGCCGGGCCUUUCCUUCUGGAGAACCUCAUGCCCUUCACUGGGUGUGCUGGGGAACCAGGACUUUUACUUUGAGAAAAUUAGAGUGUUCAAAGCAGGCCUUUGCUCGGAUACGUUAGCAUGGAAUAAUAGAAUAGGACGUGCGGUUCUAUUUUGUUGGUUUCUAGAACCGCCGUAAUGAUUAAUAGGGACAGUCGGGGGCGUCAGUAUUCAAUUGUCAGAGGUGAAAUUCUUGGACCAAUUGAAGACUAACUACUGCGAAAGCAUUCGCCAAGGAUGUUUUCAUUAAUCAGUGAACGAAAGUUAGGGGAUCGAAGACGAUCAGAUACCGUCGUAGUCUUAACCGUAAACUAUGCCGACUAGGGAUCGGGCGAUGUUCUAUAAUGACUCGCUCGGCACCUUACGAGAAAUCAUAAGUU
This 1001-nucleotide ribosomal RNA is filed under the name Rutola sp. SH-2023a. Its description in RNAcentral is "SSU rRNA". It matches the Rfam family "Eukaryotic small subunit ribosomal RNA", at positions 96 to 1105 of the family's 1831-position model. Lineage: Eukaryota; Fungi; Ascomycota. The record is from RNAcentral.